AUGAAUACACUGGGCCCAGUGUAUAUUAUUAUUCGUCAGCCAUUUCAUUUAGUAGAAUUUAGCCCUUGACCUUUGCUUGUGUCUUUUAGAACACUUAGUAUACCUAUUGGUAUAAUUAAUAUAAUUCGAUCGAAUGAUAUUUCACUUCUACUUUUAGGCUUAACUACUACCGCUUUAAUUUCUUUCUUAUGAUGACGUGAUGUCAUUCGUGAAUCUACUAUACAAGGCCAUCAUACAACAUUUGUUGUUAAAGGCCUUAAAAUCGGUGUAGGACUCUUCAUUAUUAGGGAGAUUUGUUUUUUUUUUCGCUUUUUUCUGAGCUUAUUUUCAUAGCAGGUUGGCACCUUCUGUUGAAAUUGGGUCUCAUUGGCCCCCUACAGGAAUUUACCCUCUUCAAGCAUUCCAAGUCCCACUUUUAAACACUUGUGUAUUGUUAUUAUCUGGUGUAUCAAUCACCUGAGCUCAUCAUGCCAUUGAGGAAAAACAAUUGGCGAGAGCACGGGAUGGAUUAGGAAUUACCUGUCUUCUGGGCUUGUACUUUUUAUUUUUACAAUAUGGUGAGUACCAAGAAACUUCUUUCACGAUAAGAGAUAGCGUUUAUGGGUCAUGUUUUUUUAUAGCGACUGGAUUCCAUGGACUUCACGUAGCAGUGGGGACUACAUUCCUUAUUGUGUGUUUCUUUCGGUUAAUUAAUUACCACUUUAGAUCAAAUCACCACGUUGGAUUCUUAGCUGCCGCAUGAUAUUGGCAUUUUGUUGAUGUGGUUUGAUUAUUCUUGUAUAUCAGAAUCUAUUGAUGGGGGUCAUAAUGAUAAAGAUAGCUUAAAAGUGAUGUAAAAGCAUUGAUUUUGUAAGUCAAAGAAUGUAAGGGUUUACUCUUUAUGAAUUAAUAUUUAAGAUAAGCUAAUCUCGAAGCUAUUGGGCCCAUAACCCAAAAAUGAUACAUAGUCUCUUAAAACCUCCUCAUUUUAUUCUAGUGAAGAUAUUAAAAUGAAAUAGCAAUUUGACAUGGAAUUUAUUGAGAAUCCAGCAAAAAACGUUAACUAAAUCUAGUAAUAGAAUUUUAGUGCAAUUUCAACGUAUUGUAACAAAUAAGGUGCCAGCAGUUGCGGUCAUACCUUAAACAAAUUUAAUAUCGUUAGAGUGGGACACAAAUGUAGGACUUUAAAAAAUUAAAAAGAUAGUAAAAUGUGUUUUAAUUAGUAUUAACUAACAAUGUCUGAAUUUGUUAAUCUAAAAUACCCGAAACUUUAUAAAAUUUAGUAAACUAGGAUUAGAUACCCUACUAUAAAAAGCAAAAAUUAAAACUCUAAGCACUAAAACCGAAUUAUGGUUAAAACUUAAAGAUUAUGGCGGCAGUCUAAAUUAUUCAGGGGAACUUACCAGAUAAUAGAUAACCCCCAAGCAAUUCUACUUAACUUAAUAGUUUAUAUAUUGCCGUUUAGGACUUACUUAAAGUAUGCCCAAUCAUUUGUUAAACAAAUUUAAUACAGGUCAUAGUGUAGCAAAUAGUUAAGCCGUUGAGGUGAGUUACAAUAUUAUUUUUUUUCAGGUGUGAUCUUAAAGAGAUCACAAAUAGUUGGACUUGAAAGUAAAGAUACUUUAUACUAUAAUGAUUAAAUCUUGAAUACUAUAUUAGAUUGUGCACAAAUCGCCCGUCACUCUCGUAAUUUACAACAAAACAAACGAGAUAAGUCGUAACACAGUAGGUGUAAAUGAAUUUGUACCU
Molecule: non-coding RNA, 1728 nt
Organism: Physella acuta
Lineage: Eukaryota; Metazoa; Mollusca; Gastropoda; Physidae
Source: RefSeq, a predicted model, not a curated record